RNAcentral lists this ribosomal RNA (496 nucleotides) under uncultured bacterium. RNAcentral's name for it is "partial 16S ribosomal RNA". It matches the Rfam family "Bacterial small subunit ribosomal RNA", at positions 28 to 523 of the family's 1533-position model. The record is from RNAcentral.
GAUGAACGCUAGCGGCAGGCCUAACACAUGCAAGUCGAGGGGUAUCAGGAGCUUGCUCCUAAGAGACCGGCGCACGGGUGCGUAACGCGUAUGCAAUCUACCUUUUACAGGGGAAUAGCCCAGAGAAAUUUGGAUUAAUGCCCCAUAGUAUAUAUUAUUCGCAUGCUUGAUAUAUUAAAGUUCCAACGGUAAAAGAUGAGCAUGCGUCCCAUUAGUUAGUUGGUAAGGUAACGGCUUACCAAGACGAUGAUGGGUAGGGGUCCUGAGAGGGAGAUCCCCCACACUGGUACUGAGACACGGACCAGACUCCUACGGGAGGCAGCAGUGAGGAAUAUUGGACAAUGGGCGCAAGCCUGAUCCAGCCAUGCCGCGUGCAGGAAGAAGCAUCUAUGGUGUGUAAACUGCUUUUGUACGGGAAGAAACACCCCUUCGUGAAGGGACUUGACGGUACCGUAAGAAUAAGGAUCGGCUAACUCCGUGCCAGCCGCCGCGGUAA